UGAAGUAAGUUCUUGACCAAAACCAGCAAAAAUCUUGCAGUUAAAGCUGAAACUUUUCAGCUUUGCUCCACCAGCCUUCAAGCAUCAACAUAACCAGAAAAUUUUUAGCAAAGUUCCUUUAAAAUCCAACACUAACCUCACUUAGAUUCAAGUAAAACAAUAUGUGCAUGUCACGAAAAUAAGGAUAGGAGGUAUAUAAAGUACAUCUAGACAAAAUCCAGCAAAACUUUAAAGAAAAGAACCAAAAAUAGCAGCUUUGUCCUCUUGGUCUUUAAGCAGCAAUUUAUCCAGAAAUUUCUAGCUUUGGAUGAACUUUUCUCCAACUAAACUUCUCUUUUCUCAGUUCUAAUUCAUUCUAAGACAUUAUUAACCAAAGGUAGAAGGAAAAUAAAGAAGAACUUAGCAAUUAC
RNAcentral lists this long non-coding RNA (410 nucleotides) under Coffea arabica (coffee). Its description in RNAcentral is "long non-coding RNA (CARA_LNC004692)". Lineage: Eukaryota; Viridiplantae; Streptophyta; Magnoliopsida; Gentianales; Rubiaceae. The record is from RNAcentral.